UACGUCUCGCCGGAGAAACCUCUC
This 24-nucleotide non-coding RNA is filed under the name Arabidopsis thaliana (thale cress). Lineage: Eukaryota; Viridiplantae; Streptophyta; Magnoliopsida; Brassicales; Brassicaceae. The record is from RNAcentral.